RNAcentral lists this ribosomal RNA (112 nucleotides) under uncultured eukaryote. RNAcentral's name for it is "partial small subunit ribosomal RNA". It matches the Rfam family "Eukaryotic small subunit ribosomal RNA", at positions 1676 to 1785 of the family's 1831-position model. The record is from RNAcentral.
UCGCUACUACCGAUUGAACAUUUUAGUGAGGUCUCUGGACUGGUGCUUAAGAGCUGGCAACAGCUCCUUUGUACUGGGAAAUUGCCCAAACUUGGAUGUUUAGAGGAAGUAA